AAGUUUCUGUUUGUUCUAAUCCCCCCUCCCUCUGUCUCUGUAUGGGGGAGCUGUUUUCUUCUUCCUUCCUUCUUGCCUAAUAAACUCUCCACUCCUUAAAACCAUUACAUGUGUGUCUGUGUCAUUUUAUCUAAACUGGUGCGAGACCAAGGACCCUGGUGUUCCUCCAGUCAUCGGAGCCGUAUCAUUUUGGUGCAUUGGCCAGGAAUUCAUUCAUCGGAGCGAAGCAAUUAAACUCCAAAUGGUACUGCAAGCAGAACCACACAUGGACACGCCAUUCUUCCAAGAAUCCUUAAAUCAACCUCAGGAGAAGGCCCAACUGCUGCUCCCCUGCAUGCUCCUUUUCAGCAGGAAGUGGCCACAAAGAAUCAUCGUCCAACACCCCCUAACAGCAGUUAGGUUUGCUUCUCUUGAGGGGGGAAAUAAUACAGGUGUUACUUAAAAAAGUUUUUUUAGGCAGAGAGAGAGGCUAAAAGGAGUUCUUGGUAAGGCUUUUUCUGUUAAUAAAAGCAAACCCCGAACCAUUUCUUUUCUAACAGAAAAACCGCUUGAAGGGCCGGGCCAGGAAGCUUUGAUACGCAAAUGCCGCCCGUUAGAAAUGGUCCACCCAAUAUGGCGACUCCUGCCUUCUUCUUGUCACCAUGUGUGCCAAGUGUCAUGGCUACCUCCAGAUAAUACCAUGUGUUCAGAACAUCAUGGCGAUCCGUAUUUGCAUAUUAAAGAGCUAAGGUGGGAAAUUUCGCCAGGUUUUUCACAGGCAAUGUAAAUAACAUACCUGGUCAAACCAAUCCCCUGGGCCCUAUGCAAACCAGACACCACCUCCUCCAGCAUCCCAAUAUAAGCAACCACUUUUCCUGCCACACACGGGGUUUCUCGUCGUUCGAAUCCCCCCUCCCUUUGUCUCUGUACCGGGGAGCUGUUUUCUUCCUUGCUUCUCUCUUGCCUAAUAAACUCUCCGCUCCUUAAAACUA
This is a long non-coding RNA of Homo sapiens (human), 971 nucleotides long. RefSeq lists it as uncharacterized. NCBI's taxonomy places the organism in Eukaryota, Metazoa, Chordata, Mammalia, Primates, Hominidae. The record is from RefSeq and is a predicted model, not a curated record. The transcript has 2 exons.